RNAcentral lists this unclassified non-coding RNA (336 nucleotides) under soil metagenome. RNAcentral's name for it is "partial contains 5.8S ribosomal RNA, internal transcribed spacer 2, and large subunit ribosomal RNA". The stretch from base 1 to 120 matches the Rfam family "5.8S ribosomal RNA", at positions 35 to 154 of the family's 154-position model. The record is from RNAcentral.
GAUGAAGAACGUAGUAAAAUGCGAUAAGUAGUGUGAAUUGCAGAAUUCAGUGAAUCAUCGAAUCUUUGAACGCACAUUGCGCCCCUUGGUAUUCCAUGGGGCAUGCCUGUUCGAGCGUCAUUUGUACCUUCAAGCUUUGCUUGGUGUUGGGUGUUUGUCUCGCCUUUGCGUGUAGACUCGCCUUAAAAUAAUUGGCAGCCGGCGUAUUGAUUUCGGAGCGCAGUACAUCUCGCGCUUUGCACUCAUAACGACAGCGUCCAAAAGUACAUUUUACACUCUUGACCUCGGAUCAGGUAGGGAUACCCGCUGAACUUAAGCAUAUCAAUAAGCGGAGGA